This 28-nucleotide non-coding RNA is filed under the name Homo sapiens (human). Lineage: Eukaryota; Metazoa; Chordata; Mammalia; Primates; Hominidae. The record is from RNAcentral.
UGAGCAGGCAACGAGCAACAAGGCAGCA